GGCGGUAUCGUCUAGUGGUUAGGACAGAUGGUUCUCAGCCUUCAAACCGGGGUUCAAUUCCCCGUACCGCUA
This 72-nucleotide transfer RNA is filed under the name Candidatus Zixiibacteriota bacterium. RNAcentral describes it as "tRNA-Glu". It matches the Rfam family "tRNA". From Rfam's summary of the family: Transfer RNA (tRNA) molecules are approximately 80 nucleotides in length. RNAcentral also lists the same sequence under 1 other name. Lineage: Bacteria; Pseudomonadati; Candidatus Zixiibacteriota. The record is from RNAcentral.